CAACGCGACCCCAGGUCAGGCGGGGCU
RNAcentral lists this ribosomal RNA (27 nucleotides) under Ficus langkokensis. Its description in RNAcentral is "partial 28S ribosomal RNA". The record is from RNAcentral. Lineage: Eukaryota; Viridiplantae; Streptophyta; Magnoliopsida; Rosales; Moraceae.